Molecule: transfer RNA, 58 nt
Filed under: Taeniogonalos tricolor
Lineage: Eukaryota; Metazoa; Arthropoda; Insecta; Hymenoptera; Trigonalidae
Description: tRNA-Ser
Source: RNAcentral
UAAGUAAAUUUUAAAAAUUGCUAAUUUUUACUAAUAAAUAAAAUUUAUUAUUACUUUU